Molecule: ribosomal RNA, 429 nt
Filed under: Bacteroidota bacterium
Lineage: Bacteria; Pseudomonadati; Bacteroidota
Description: Bacteroidetes bacterium partial 16S ribosomal RNA
Rfam family: Bacterial small subunit ribosomal RNA
Source: RNAcentral
UAGGGAAUCUUCGGCAAUGGGGGGAACCCUGACCGAGCAACGCCGCGUGAGUGAAGAAGGUUUUCGGAUCGUAAAGCUCUGUUGUUAAGGAAGAACGAGUGUGAGAAUGGAAAGUUCAUGCUGUGACGGUACUUAACCAGAAAGGGACGGCUAACUACGUGCCAGCAGCCGCGGUAAUACGUAGGUCCCGAGCGUUGUCCGGAUUUAUUGGGCGUAAAGCGAGCGCAGGCGGUUAGAAAAGUCUGAAGUGAAAGGCAGUGGCUCAACCAUUGUAGGCUUUGGAAACUGUUUAACUUGAGUGCAGAAGGGGGGAGUGGAAUUCCAUGUGAGGCGGUGAAAUGCGAAGAUAUAUGGAGGAACACCGGUGGCGAAAGCGGCUCUCUGGUCUGUAACUGACGCUGAGGAUCGAAAGCGUGGGGAGCGAACAGG